Molecule: small nuclear RNA, 22 nt
Filed under: Arabidopsis thaliana (thale cress)
Lineage: Eukaryota; Viridiplantae; Streptophyta; Magnoliopsida; Brassicales; Brassicaceae
Description: snRNA_15840
Source: RNAcentral
AAAGGUAUACAACCCGUUCAGA